Physeter macrocephalus (sperm whale) is the source of this 3295-nucleotide long non-coding RNA. RefSeq lists it as uncharacterized. The record is from RefSeq and is a predicted model, not a curated record. The transcript is spliced from 3 exons. NCBI's taxonomy places the organism in Eukaryota, Metazoa, Chordata, Mammalia, Artiodactyla, Physeteridae.
UGUUUUGUUCCUGAAAAUUGGACUGAAGAUGUGGUCUUUUCCUGGUAAUUUUCUUAGUAAUCAGAAUCAGCAGUUUUCACGGCUCUAGGGACCCUGGAAAUGUUCAAUAUUUGGUUCUCUUGGGGAAAAAUUUUCCACUGAUGAGUGAAUGAGUGUGAAUGGUCAAUUCUAAGGGAGGAGUUUCAAAGGUGACUUCUCUUACAGUGAUCAUCCUGCUCCUUUUUCAAAAGCAUGAAGCACCUAUCUUAACGGUACCCUUCAUCUUUGAAGACAUCAGCUCACUUCUCCAGAGAAGCCUUCCCUGUCUUUAUAUCAGCCCAUUCAGCUUCCCCUGAAAUCUGAAAUUUGCCAGCCAGGUAUCUUUCUGAAUGACUAACCCAUCCUUUACUCCACUUACCACCUUUUCUUGUUGGUUUCCCAAGCUCUGUUCAUAAGAUUUUUAAAAAGUGACAACCGAUGCCUUAUUGAUAAGCUAAGAAUUUAUAGCUUAGUUCAGAGCAUGCAUGCUCUUUAGCCAAUCAUGAAUUCAUAUAAUCAAAAGCUGUUUUCACCUUUCACAUCAACACCACAUUGUGUUGUCACUGAUUAUUUGCAGUGACUUAAGUCUAUUCGAAAAGCACAUCAGCUUCAGCUAUUAGGUAUUCAUAAAUACAAAGUUUGUUCAUUAUGGUUAAAGUGCUAUUUAUGAUAAGCCUGUAAAGAUUUGAACUUCUCAAGUUAAGCCAUCCUAAGUUAUGGGGUAUCUGUUUCCAAAUAAUUACAUUAAUCACAUAUGAUGUCUUUGCUCAAAAUGGGAAUUCAGGUCUGUUAACUAAUCCUACUAACAGCGCUUCUCUUGGCGCUAGAAAAAAGAUUCCAGGUCUCAACUGAAUUAUUUUUGGCAGUCAGUAAUCCCAUGUCCCAGAGACGAAGUUCUUUGCAUAAUCAAGUUUUUAAAUGUCAGUACGGUUUGGAGGGUUAUUAAAGUAUUUCUGACUUUUGAAAAGGCUUCUAAAUAUCCUAAGAUUGUUUACUCUUUCCUAAUGAAAUUAGAUAAAAGCUGAAGUUUUUGUCAGUCUGAACGGGCUCCCAAUACAGAGCAAUGGAAGCUGAGUGACAUGUCUGCACAUUUAGUCCUAAAAUAUGUAGCCCUGAAUCCAGAGGAAAUAGCCUAGCCUUGGAAGAGUUGAAGUCACAAGCUUGAAAAGCUUAAACAAAGAGAAGCCGUGAGGAAUUUGCAAAGUUGGAGGACAAAGUAGUGUCUUAUUUGAUGGUAAACAAGACCAGCAUAUGUCAAAAUCUUCUGCUGUAUGCCAUGUGAAAGAAGUAGGAAAGUGACAAAGAAAUGGCCGUUGACCCAGAUGACAUAUAAAGACCAGGUCCAAUAGUAGUCAUACCUACAAACAUUUUACAAAUGAACAUUGAGAAGACAGUCGUGUAAGUUUUUCAAGAAGGGUAUGCUGGUGAAAUCGUUCUGGAGUCCCUGGAUAACAUAAGAUGUCAUUCCCUGACCUUCACAUACAAAAGAUAUCCUGACUGUAUGUUUCUUCUUGGAUCACAAAGUGUCCUCUCCAAACUCUGUAGCUGCCUUCAUUGUCUCUUAGCUUUUGGUGUCUCCAAAAAUCAUCUGAAAAAGGCGUCAUUUUUGUUCCCUUUGUUCGUGUCAUCUUUUCGUUACCUUGCUGCUUGGGCAAUUUUUUUCUCUUGUCCUGUAAUCCAUGAAAAUUGAAUGUAGCAAUUUAUAUAUAGUCAUCCCUGCUUAUCCUCUGGGGAUGCAUUCCAAGACCCCCACUGGAUGCCUGAAAUCGCGAAUAGUACUGGACCAUAUAUAUAUGUAUAUAUAUAUAUAUAUACACACACACACACACAUAUAUAUAUAUACUAUGUUUUUUCUAUACAUACAUAUGUAUGAUAAAGUUUAUUUAAUAAAUUAGGCACAGCAAGAGAUUAACAACCACUCAUAAUAAAAUAGAAUGAUUACAAUAUACUGUAAUAAAAGUUAUAUGAAUGUGUGCUCUCUCCCUCUCAAAAUAUCUUUCAUAUUGUACAAAUCGAAUGCCUUUUCCAUCUUCAUUAAGCACUUAUCACGCACUGUGGCAGUAUCUUUUGCAGUUUGAGGUGUGAUAGUAAAACUAACACGAAUUUCUUUUUCCUUCUUUACAAUUUCUCAGAUAGAAGAUUCGUUCUUACCAUAGAUCUUAGCAAACUCGGUACACAAACUUUUUUCUUUCCUUAUUAAGUCGAGAACUUUUACCUUUUCACUUAAAGGGAGCACUAUACGGCUUACUCUUUGGCAGAUCCAAAUGCCAGCGUCACUACUCUUGCGCUUUGGGGCCAUUGUUAAGUAAAAUAAGGAUAACUUGAACACAAACAUUGUGAUACCACGACAGUCAAUCUGAUGACCAAGAGGUGGCUAAGUGAUGAAUGGGCAGGAUACACGGUACAGAGGGAUAAUUCUUGUCCCGCGUGGGACACAGCUGCAUAGCGGGAGAUCUCAUGACGCUACUCAGAACAAUGCACAAUUUAAAACUUAGGAAUUAAUUCUGGAAUUUUCCACUUACUAUUUCCAGACACAAUUGACUGCAGGUAACUUAAGCCACUGAAAGUGAAGCUGCAAGUAAGGGGGCGUCUAGCGUCCUGGUAAAUGUUUAAAAACAAACUCUCCAAAGAAAGAAUGUGUAUAUACCUCUGUGUGUUUACUGUAAAUUUUAAUGAUAGGUAGGAUGCAUAGCACACAAGUGGUAAAUAAUCAUACAAUUUAUAAUUCUCUUUAAAUCCCAUGCAGCUAAUUGGUUCUUAUUGAAUGACUUCUUUGGUAUUUACUGAACACUCGUUAUAUAGACAUCUUAUGGCUGCAAUCAAAAAAUUAGUGUAGUUCCAACAUGAAUGUUGGUUGAUAGUUUCUUUUAUGUUAAUAAGAAGUGAAACCACAGAAACUUAUGUCAGAACUUCACUUAUCUGUCAGUGACCUGAGUGAAUUCUUUUCUCAGUAGAUAAUUUUUGAAUAUCAGAAGAAUGUUCCUUCAAUUUUUUUUGUGCUAUUCAUGAUAGGAUGACUAUAGACACAGCACACUUUUAAGUUGAAUCCUCAUUAUUAAUGUUUUCUCCAUCUACUUUCUGCAGUCUAGACAAUCAACAAAACAAGAAACCAAGCCCGGAUUUUUACCUUUUAUUGAUUCCAAUGGUAUAAAUACUCCCACCAUGGCUGAUUUCAAAUUACCACUGUGAAAUCACUGAGCCCAGAGUAGGGAAGGAUGCAUGGCAGCACAUCAUUAUACAGCAUUUCCUCUGUACAGUUACCAUAGAUGUAAAUAAC